UUAUAAUCGAUCGUCUAUGCCAUCAACCAAAACUUGGUUCUUGAGAAAAAGAAAUACGAUAACAGUAGCAUUCAUGCAAAAUCUAGUACAGAAAAUAGCACGUGACUUUUAUAGACAUUUGCUGGUCGAAUUUUGGAAACUCAGGUCACCAACCAUUCAACAGCAUUCCAGAACUCAGCUCAGAUUGCAGCUCCAGGCUCAUUCAGUGCCAGUCACUCCAUGCACUGCUCCUCAUGAGAAGUCACAAGAGAACACCACAAGCUUCAGUAACUAUACAGUUUUAUCUACCGUUUCCAUGGAACAAACAAGCAAACACAUCUACUGAUUCACCAGUACUAACAAGUCGGUGCCGAAACGAAACGAGGAGGAGGGUCCACCACGUCAGGAAUACCUAAGGGCGACGGGGAAGGCGAUCGCGAGGCGAUUGCUAGGCCGCCGCUAGGGUUAGGUUUUUCCGCACGGGGGUGAGAUUGGAUCUCCGGUGACUGCUCGAACGGCGACGGCGCUGUUCCCGCGGUUGAUCGGCGAAGGUUUUCUUCAGGAGCGCUCGUGUGGUGUGUCCAUGGCGGCGAACGAGAUCAGAGGGGCGACCACGGCGAGUCGGGAGGCCACCCCCCGCAAGCAUACGACGACGGCGUCUGCGCCGGCGGCAGCAGGGGAUUCAACGGCCCGGGGUGCUUCGGCGUCCCCGGCUGAUGGCAAGACUACGGCGGAGGCUGCCAGCCUCUCGGAGAGCUUUGGAGGACUGGUUCCGACGGACAAAGAGCGGCAAGGAUUCAUCUUCUCAGAUCCAGGUAUAUCUGGCCAUGGGCCGGGCCUAAAAAAGCCCAUGGCAGAAAAUUGAAGCCCAGGCCCUCCCAGGCCCUACCAUCGGACCUACUUUUCAAGCCCAAGCCCGACCCAUCUGGUAAAAAGCCCUGAAAAGCCCUUAGGGCUUAGGGUCAUGGGCCGGGCAUCUUCCUUAAAAUGCCAAUAUGCCAAGCCCAAGCCCGUCCAGGCCCUGCUAGUGGGCUCAAAACUUAGGCCCAAGCCUGGCCCACAGACAAGCCCAUCGGGCCUAGGCCCUAGAUUUUAGGGUCGGACCUGUGUGGGCCGACAGGGCCGGGCCUGAGAUGGCCAGGACUAGAUCCAGGCAUCCAAGCGAAGACGGUGAAGUGGUCGGCGGUGGGAAAAGUUUUCUCGCCAAGGCCUCUGAACAAAACUGCACUGGAAAGGGGAAAAAAGUAUAGAUACCCCCAGAACUAUCAGUUAAGGNNNNNNNNNNNNNNNNNNNNNNNNNNNNNNNNNNNNNNNNNNNNNNNNNNNNNNNNNNNNNNNNNNNNNNNNNNNNNNNNNNNNNNNNNNNNNNNNNNNNNNNNNNNNNNNNNNNNNNNNNNNNNNNNNNNNNNNNNNNNNNNNNNNNNNNNAGACUUAAUCCCCUGAACUAUGUCAAACCAGACAAAACACUCCCUAGACCCAUCUCGAGUGGUUUGGAAGGGCUGUUUUGCCUACGUGGAGGCCAGGACGAGCCCACCGGCCGGCCACGUCGAUAGGGGCGGGUUUGGGUGCGGUCUAAAUGACCCCCCCGAGCUGGUUCGACCCAGCCGCCCUCUCUGAAUUUGCACACCAAAUUUAGAAGUAUAUUGACAGCAAAAUUUUAUAUAUUCACAUGAUCUUCACAGGAAGUAUAGCAUUCAUAGAAACUUCGCCAGAAAAUUGCUAUGUUCAUAGGAAAUUCACAGGAACUAUAAUAUUGAGAAGCUUCAGUUCUCAUAAUAAGCAAUAGCAAAAGGAAACCAUACUUUCCAGAAACUGAUAGCAAAUUCCAUAACAUCAAAUUUGCCCUGACAACCUCUUAAGGUCUUUGACAUAGAAAAGAAAACAUCCACAAAAUACUACAGACAUUGGCAUGCUACUUGUGCAAGUAACUUGAUGUUGCACAUCAACAAAAGCACACACUUCAACAUGAUGUUACACAUCAAGUACAUGAGAUUUUCCCCACUGAUAAGAAAACUGGACAUUCACCUUUCUCCAGUUAGGAGUCAUUGCAGCCUGUCAAUAGUUGGCACUUGCAUGUGAAUUGAGCUUGAAUUUCUUGGAGCAGACUGUGAGCUUGAACCUACUCUGUUCUGACUCCUCAUCCUGCUUGUUCUCUCUACAGUAUGUUGAGAAGCUUGUUGUGAAGAUGAUCUUGUUGGAAAUAUGCCCUAGAGGCAAUAAUAAAAGUAUUAUUAUUAUAUUUCCUUGUUCAUGAUAAUUGUCUUUUAUUCAUGCUAUAACUGUAUUAUCCGGAAAUCGUAAUACACGUGUGAAUACAUAGACCACAAUAUGUCCCUAGUGAGCCUCUAGUUGACUAGCUCGUUGUGAUCAACAGAUAGUCAUGGUUUCCUGGCUAUGGACAUUGGACGUCGUUGAUAACGGGAUCACAUCAUUAGGAGAAUGAUGUGAUGGACAAGACCCAAUCCUAAGACUAGCACAAAAGAUCGUGUAGUUCAUUUGCUAGAGCUUUGCCAAUGUCAAGUAUCUCUUCCUUCGACCAUGAGAGCGUGUAACUCCUGGAUACCGUAGGAGUGCUUUGGGUGUAUCAAACGUCACAACGUAACUGGGUGACUAUAAAGGUGCACUACAGGUAUCUCCGAAAGUAUCUAUUGUUUUAUGCGGAUCGAGACUGGGAUUUGUCACUCCGUGUAAACGGAGAGGUAUCUCUGGGCCCACUCGGUAGGAUAUCAUCAUAUGCGCAAUGUGACCAAGGAGUUGAUCACGGGAUGAUGUGUUACGGAACGAGUAAAGUGACUUGCCGGUAACGAGAUUGAACAAGGUAUUGGAUACCGACGAUCGAAUCUCGGGCAAGUAACAUACCGAUAGACAAAGGGAAUUGAAUACGGGAUUGAUUAAGUCCUUGACAUCGUGGUUCAUCCGAUGAGAUCAUCGUGGAACAUGUGGGAGCCAUCAUGGGUAUCCAGAUCCCGCUGUUGGUUAUUGACCGGAGAACGUCUCGGUCAUGUCUGCAUGUCUCCCGAACCCGUAGGGUCUACACACUUAAGGUUCGAUGACGCUAGGGUUAUAAAGGAAGUUUGUAUGUGGUUACCGAAUGUUGUUCGGAGUCCCGGAUGAGAUCCCGGACGUCACGAGGAGUUCCGGAAUGGUCCGGAGGUAAAGAUUUAUAUAUGGGAAGUCCUAUUUUGGCCACCGGAAAAUGUUCGGGAUUUUUAGGUAUUGUACCGGGAAGGUUCUAGAAGGUUCCGGAGUGGGGCCCACCUGCAUGGGGGGACCCACAUGGACGUGGGUAGUGGGGGCAAGGCCCCACAACCCUGGUCAAGGCGCACCAAGAUCCCCCGUUAGAAGGAAUAAGAUCAUAUCCCGAAGGGAUAAGAUCAAGAUCCCUAAAAAGGGGGGAUAACAAUCGGUGGGGAAGGAAAUAAUGAGAUUUCUUUCCUCCCACCUUGGCCAACGCCCCAAUGGACUUGGAGGGCAAGAAACCAGCCCCUCCACCCCUAUAUAUAGUGGGGAGGCGCAUGGGAGCUAUACACGAAGUUCUGGCACAUCCCUACCUCUCUCCCUACUCCUCCUCUCCCAUGGUGCUUGGCGAAGCCCUGCUGGAUUGCCACGCUCCUCCACCACCACCACGCCGUUGUGCUGCUGUUGGAUGGAGUCUUCCUCAACCUCUCCCUCUCUCCUUGCUGGAUCAAGGCGUGGGAGACGUCACCGGGCUGUACGUGUGUUGAACGCGGAGGUGCCGUCCGUUCGGCACUAGGAUCAUCGGUGAUUUGAAUCACGACGAGUACGACUCCAUCAACCCCGUUCACUUGAACGCUUCCGCUUAGCGAUAUACAAGGGUAUGUAGAUGCACUCUCUUUCUACUCGUUGCUGGUCUCUCCAUAGAUAGAUCUUGGUGACACGUAGGAAAAUUUUGAAUUUCUGCUACGUUCCCCAACAGUGGCAUCAUGAGCUAGGUCUAUUGCGUAGAUUCUUUGCACGAGUAGAACACAAAGUAGUUGUGGGCGUUGAUGUUGUUCAAUAUGCUUACCGUUACUAGUCCAAUCUUGUUUCGACGGUAUUAUGGGAUGAAGCGGCCCGGACCGACCUUACACGUACUCUUACGUGAGACAGGUUCCACCGAUUGACAUGCACUUGGUGCAUAAGGUGGCUAGUGGGUGCCAGUCUCUCCCACUUUAGUCGGAACGGAUUCGAUGAAAAGGGUCCUUAUGAAGGGUAAAUAGCAAUUGGCAUAUCACGUUGUGGUCUUGCGUAGGUAAGAAACGUUCUUGCUAGAAACCCAUAUCAGCCACGUAAAACAUGCAACAACAAUUAGAGGACGUCUAACUUGUUUUUGCAGGGUAUGCUAUGUGAUGUGAUAUGGCCAAGAAGAAUGUGAUGAAUGAUAUGUGAUGUAUGAGAUUGAUCAUGUUCUUGUAAUAGGAUUCACGACUUGCAUGUCGAUGAGUAUGACAACCGGCAGGAGCCAUAGGAGUUGUCUUUAUUUAUUGUAUGACCUGCGUGUCAUUGAAGAACGCCAUGUAAACUACUUUACUUUAUUGCUAAACGCGUUAGUCAUAGAAGUAGAAGUAGUCGUUGGCGUGACAACUUCAUGAAGACACAAUGAUGGAGAUCAUGAUGAUGGAGAUCAUGGUGUCGUGCCGGUGACGAUGAUGAUCAUGGAGCCCCGAAGAUGAAGAUCAAAAGGAGCAAAAUGAUAUUGGCCAUAUCAUGUCACUAUUUGAUUGCAUGUGAUGUUUAUCAUGUUUAUGCAUCUUGUUUGCUUAGGACGACGGUAGUAAAUAAGAUGAUCCCUUACAAAAUUUCAAGAAGUGUUCUCCCCUAACUGUGCACCAUUGCUACAGUUCGUCGCUUCUAAGCACCACAUGAUGAUCGGGUGUGAUGGAUUCUUACGUUCACAUACAACGGGUGUAAGACAGUUUUACACAGCGAAAACACUUAGGGUUAACUUGACGAGCCUAGCAUGUGCAGACAUGGCCUCGGAACACGGAGACCGAAAGGUCGAGCAUGAGUCGUAUGGUAGAUACGAUCAACAUGAAGAUGUUCACCGAUGAUGACUAGUCCGUCUCACGUGAUGAUCGGACACGGCCUAGUUGACUCGGAUCAUGUGAUCACUUAGAUGACCAGAGGGAUGUCUAUCUAAGUGGGAGUUCAUAAGAUGAACUUAAUUAUCCUAAACAUAGUCAAAAGACCUUUUGCAAAUUAUGUCGUAAGCUCGCGCUUUAGUUCCACUGUUUAGAUAUGUUCCUAGAGAAAAUAUAGUUGAAAGUUGAUAGUAGCGAUUAUGCGAUCAGUAGAAAGCUUAUGUCCUUAAUGCACCGCUCAGUGUGCUGAACCCCAACGUCGUUUGUCGAUGUUGCGAACAUCGGACAUACACGUUUUGAUAACUACGUGAUAGUUCAAUUAAAUGGUUUAAGUAGAGGUACCAAAGACGUUUUCGAAACGUCGUGGAACAUAUGAGAUGUUUCGAGGGCUGAAAUUGGGAUUUCAGGCUCGUGCCCACGUCAAGAGGUAUAAGACCUCCGACGAUUUUCUUAGCCUGCAAACUAAGGGAGAAAAGCUCAAUCGUUGAGCUUGUGCUCAGAUUGUCUGAGCACAACAAUCACUUGAAUCGAGUGGGAGUUGAUCCUCCAGAUGAGAUAGUGAUGUUUCCCCAAAGUCAUUGCCACCAAGCUGCUAGAGCUUCGUGAUUAACUAUAACAUAUCAGGGAUAGAUAUGAUGAUCCUUGAAAUAUUCAUGAUGUUUGACACCGCGAAAGUAGAAAUCAAGAAGGAGCAUCAAUUGUUGAUGGUUGGUGAAACCACUAGUUUCAAGAAGGGCAAGGGAACAAAGGGAUACUUCAUGAAACGGCAAUUCAACUGCUGCUCUAGUGAAGAAACCCAAGGUUGAACCCAAACCCGAGACUAAGUGCUUCUGUAAUAAGGGGAACAACCACUGGAGCAGCAUUACCCUAGAUACUUGGUAGAUGAGAAGGCUAGCAAGGUCGAUAGAAGUAUAUUGGAUAUACAUUAUGUUAAUGUGUACUUUACUAGUACUCCUAGUAGCACCAGGGUAUUGGAUACCGGUUCGGUUGCUAAGUGUUAGUAACUCGAAAUAAAAGCUACGGAAUAAACGGAGACUAGUUAAAGGUGAGCUGACGAUAUAUGUUGGAAGUGUUUCCAAGGUUGAUAUGAUCAAGCAUCGCACGCUCCCUCUACCACCGAGAUUGGUGUUUGUGUUGAGCAUAGACAUGAUUGGAUUAUGUCUAUCGCAAUACGGUUAUUCAUUUAAGGAGAAUAAUGGUUACUCUAUUUUUGGAUAAUACCUUCAAUGGUCUUGCACCUAAAGGAAUGGUUUAUUGAAUCUCGGUCGUAGUGAUACACAUUUUCAUGCCAAAAGAUAUAAGAUAGUAAUGAUAGUACCACUUACUUGUGGCACUGCCAUGUAAUUCAUAAUGGUAUAAAACGCAUGAAGAAGCUCCAUGUUGAUGGAUCCUUGGACUCACUCGUUUUUGAAAAGUUUGAGACAUGCGCACCAUGUCUAUUGGUGUAUAUGCAUGAAGAAACUCCAUGCAAAUGGAUCGUUCGGACUCACUUGAUUUUGAAUCACUUGAGAUAUGCAAAUCAUACCACAUGGGCAAGAUGACUGAAAAGCCUCAUUUUCAGUAAGAUGGAACAAGAUAGCAACUUGUUGGAAGUAACACAUUUUGAUGUGUGCAGUCGAAUGAGUGCUGAGGCAUGCAGUGAAUAUCAUUAUGUUCUUGCUUCACAGAUGAUUCGAGUAAAUGUUGAGUAUAUUUACUUGAUGAAACACAAGUCUAAAUUAUUGAAUGGUUCAAGUAAUUUCAGAGUGAAGUAGCAGAUCAUUGUGACAAGAGGAUAAAAUGUCUAUGAUAUGAUCAUAGAGAUGAAUAUCUGAGUUACGAGUUUUGGCACACAAUUAAGACAUUGUGGAAAUUGUUUCGCAAUUAAUACCGCCUGGAACACCAUAAUGUGAUGGUGUGUCCGAACAUCAUAGUUGCACCCUAUUGGAUAUGGUGCGUACCAUGAUGUCUCUUAUCGAAUUACCACUAUCGUUCAUGGGUUAGGCAUUAGAGACAACCACAUUCACUUUAAAUAGGGCACCACGUAAUUCCGAUGAGAUGACACCGUAUGAAUUAUGGUUUAGAGAAACCUAAGUUGUCGUUUCUUAAAAGUUUGGGGCUGCGACGCUUAUAUGAAAAAGUUUCAGGUUGAUAAGCUCGAACCCAAAGCGGAUAAAAUGCAUCUUCAUAGGAAACCCAAAACAGUUGGGUAUACCUCCUAAUUUAGAUCCGAAAGCAAUAUGGAUUUUUUCUAGAAUCGGGUCCUUUCUCGAGGAAAAGUUUCUCUCGAAAGAAUUGAGUGGGAGGAUGGUGGAGACUUGAUGAGGUUAUUGAACCGUCUCUUCAACUAGUGUGUGACAGGGCACAGGGAGUUGUUCCUGUGGCACCUACACCAAUUGAAGUGGAAGCUUAUGAUAUUGAUCAUGAAACUUCGGAUCAAGUCACUCCCAAACCUCGUAGGAUGACAAGGAUGCGUACAACUUCAGAGUGGUACGUAAUCCUGUCUUGAAGGUCAUGUUGCUAGACAACAAUGAACCUACGAGCUAUGGAGAAGCGAUGGUGGGCCCGGAUUCCGAUAAAUGGCUUGAGGCCAUAAAAUCCGAGAGAGGAUCCAUGUAUGAAAACAAAGUGUAGACUUUGGCAGAACGGCUCGAUGGUCGUAAGGCUAAUGAGUACAGAUGGAUUUCAAAAGGAAGACGGACAAUGAUGGUAAAUGUCACCAUUAAGAAAGCUCGACUUGUUGUUAAGAUGUUUUCCGACAAGUUCAAGGAGUUGACUACGAUGAGAUUUUCUCACUCGUAGCGAUGCUAAGAGUCUGUUGGAAUUAUAUUAGCGAUUACUGCAUUAUUUAUGAAAUCUUGCAGAUAGGAUGUCAAAACAUUGUUUCCUCGAUGAUUUUAAUGAGGAAAGGUUGUAUGUGAUACAACCGGAAGGUUUUGUCAAUCCCGAAAGAUGCUAAUAAGUAUGCAAAGCUCCAGCAAUCCUUCUAAGGACUGGAGUGAGCAUCUCGGAGUUGGAAUGUAUGCUUUGAUGAUGAUCAAAAAUUUUGGGUUUGUACAAAGUUUAUGAGAAACUUGUAUUUCCAAAGAAGUGAGUGGGAGCACUAUAGAAUUUCUGAUGAGUAUAUGUUGUUGACAUAUUGUUGAUCAGAAAUGACGUAGAAUUUCUGGAAAGCAUAUAGGGUUAUUUUGAAAGUGUUUUUCAACGGAAAGCCUGGAUUAAGCUACUUGAACAUUGAGCAUCAAGAUCUAUAAGGAUAGAUCAAAAUGCUUAAUAAUACUUUUAAAUGAGCACAUACCUUGACAUGAUCUUGAAGGUGUUCAAGAUGGACCAGUCAAAGAAGGAGUUCUUGCCUGAGUUGUAAGGUACGAAGUUAAGACUUAAAGCUCGACCACGGCAGAAUAGAGAGAAAGGACGAAGGUCGUCCCCUAUGCUUAAGACGUAGGCUCUUCAGUAUGCUAUGCUGUGUACCGCACCUGAAGUGUGCCUUGCCAUGAGUCAGUCAAGGGGUACAAGAGUGAUCCAAGAAUGGCUCACAGGACAGCGGUCAAAGUUAUCCUUAGUAACUAGUGAACUAAGGAAUUUUCUCGAUUAUGGAGGUGGUAAAAGAGUUCGUCGUAAAGGUUACGACGAUGCAAGCUUGAAACCUAUCCGGAUAGCUCUGAGUAGAGAGACCGGAUACAUAUAAUGGAGCAAUAAUUUAGAAUAGCUCCAAGUAGAACAGUUGUUUGGAAUAGCUCCAAAUAGAGCGUGGUAGCUGCAUCUAGGAGAUGACAUAGAGAUUUGUAAAGCACACACGGAUCUGAAAGGUUCAGACCCGUUGACUAAAACCUCUCUCACAAGCAACAUGAUCAAACAUAAAACUCAUUGAGUGUUAAUCACAUAGUGAUGUGAACUAGACUACUGACUCUAGUAAACUCUUGGGUAUUAGUCACAUGGCGAUGUGACCUGUGAGUGUUAAUCACAUGGCGAUGUGAACUAGAUUAUUGACUCUAGUGCAAGUGGGAGACUGUUGGAAAUAUGCCCUAGAGGCAAUAAUAAAAGUAUUAUUAUUAUAUUUCCUUGUUGAUGAUAAUUGUCUUUUAUUCAUGCUAUAACUGUAUUAUCCGGAAAUCGUAAUACACGUGUGAAUACAUAGACCACAAUAUGUCCCUAGUGAGCCUCUAGUUGACUAGCUCGUUGUGAUCAACAGAUAGUCAUGGUUUCCUGGCUAUGGACAUUGGACGUCGUUGAUAACGGGAUCACAUCAUUAGGAGAAUGAUGUGAUGGACAAGACCCAAUCCUAAGACUAGCACAAAAGAUCGUGUAGUUCAUUUGCUAGAGCUUUGCCAAUGUCAAGUAUCUCUUCCUUCGACCAUGAGAGCGUGUAACUCCUGGAUACCGUAGGAGUGCUUUGGGUGUAUCAAACGUCACAACAUAACUGGGUGACUAUAAAGGUGCACUACAGGUAUCUCCGAAAGUAUCUAUUGUUUUAUGCGGAUCGAGACUGGGAUUUGUCAUUCCGUGUAAACGGAGAGGUAUCUCUGGGCCCACUCGGUAGGACAUCAUCAUAUGCGCAAUGUGACCAAGGAGUUGAUCACGGGAUGAUGUGUUACGGAACGAGUAAAGUGACUUGCCGGUAACGAGAUUGAACAAGGUAUUGGAUACCGACGAUCGAAUCUCGGGCAAGUAACAUACCGAUAGACAAAGGGAAUUGAAUACGGGAUUGAUUAAGUCCUUGACAUCGUGGUUCAUCCGAUGAGAUCAUCGUGGAACAUGUGGGAGCCAUCAUGGGUAUCCAGAUCCCGCUGUUGGUUAUUGACCGGAGAACGUCUCGGUCAUGUCUACAUGUCUCCCGAACCCGUAGGGUCUACACACUUAAGGUUCGAUGACGCUAGGGUUAUAAAGGAAGUUUGUAUGUGGUUACCGAAUGUUGUUCGGAGUCCCGGAUGAGAUCCCGGACGUCACGAGGAGUUCCAGAAUGGUCCGGAGGUAAAGAUUUAUAUAUGGGAAGCCCUAUUUUGGCCACCAGAAAAUGUUCGGGAUUUUUCGGUAUUGUACCGGGAAGGUUCUAGAAGGUUCCGGAGUGGGGCCCACCUGCAUGGGGGGACCCACAUGGACGUGGGUAGUGGGGGCAAGGCCCUACACCCCUGGUCAAGGCGCACCAAGAUCCCCCCUUAGAAGGAAUAAGAUCAUAUCCCGAAGGGAUAAGAUCAAGAUCCCUAAAAAGGGGGGAUAACAAUCGGUGGGGAAGGAAAUAAUGAGAUUUCUUUCCUCCCACCUUGGCCAACGCCCCAAUGGACUUGGAGGGCAAGAAACCAGCCCCUCCACCCCUAUAUAUAGUGGGGAGGCGCAUGGGAGCUAUACACGAAGUUCUGGCACAGCCCUACCUCUCUUCCUACUCCUCCUCUCCCAUGGUGCUUGGCGAAGCCCUGCUGGAUUGCCACGCUCCUCCACCACCACCACGCCGUUGUGCUGCUGUUGGAUGGAGUCUUCCUCAACCUCUCCCUCUCUCCUUGCUGGAUCAAGGCGUGGGAGACGUCACCGGGCUGUACGUGUGUUGAACGCGGAGGUGCCGUCCGUUCGGCACUAGGAUCAUCGGUGAUUUGAAUCACGACGAGUACGACUCCAUCAACCCCGUUCACUUGAACGCUUCCGCUUAGAGAUCUACAAGGGUAUGUAGAUGCACUCUCUUUCUACUCGUUGCUGGUCUCUCCAUAAAUAGAUCUUGGUGACACGUAGGAAAAUUUUGAAUUUCUGCUACGUUCCCCAACAGAUCUUGCUGGAGGUGCUUGUUGUGAAGAUGAUCUUGCUGGAGGUGCUUGCUUCUUUGCCCUCUUCGCUGGAUUAGGCGGUGCUCUAGAAGAUGAUGAUACUGCAUUGUUUGUCCUCUUUGGUGGUUGUGGCACCUGACAAAAAUAAUGAAAUAAUGAUCAGUGCUAGUUGCAACAUAUAUGACUGUUGAGGUUCAAAGAAAAGUAAUUACCUGAGUGUUGAUUUCUGAUUCCUUUUGCUUCUUCUUUCUUGCUCUUUGUGCUUCUCUUUUGUAGUUAUCUUUCUGCUUCUUAUCUCUAUUUGGAUUUCCCAAACACUUUCUUUUGUUGUGAUCAAAGCUCCCACAAACAGAACAUGAAAUUCUUAUGCCUUUUUUUGAAAGCUUGUUCCCCUGAGGUUUCUCACCCUCUUCUCUUCUUCUUUUAGUCUUUUUUCUUCCUGGCAUCACUCUAUGAGGAGGAGGAGGAGGUUUUGGCAUGUCAGCAACUGGCCAGUUCUCUUUUCCCUCCACUGGUUGCAGCACAUGGUCAUAAAUCUUGUUGUACUCAGAGAUAGAGUAGCAUGGAGCAAUAUAAUCAUCUAGUUUUUUACCACAUGUGUAAAUUGCACUGAUAGCAUGAGGACAGGGCAAACCAGCCAGUUCCCAAUAUCUGCAAGAACAUUUCCAUGCCUCCAAGUUAACUGUGUACCUCCGAUGCACAUCUUCUUGAACUUCAAAUCCUUCCUUCCCAUUCCAAAGAACCUGACAUAGCCCUGACCUCUUGAUGUUCAGCUUCAAUUUUUUGAAAACAUUAGGGCAAAUGGUUCCAGGCCAACUGUUAGAUUUGUCUCUAUUUUCCUGGAUCCUUACCAUGACCUUUUUCCUAAUAAUCUCAUUUGCUGUAAUAACAGGAAAGAACAUUGCCUUCAUUAUAGCAUUAUUGAAUGAUUCACACAGAUUAUUCUCUACCGAGUCACACCAAGAACCAAGCUUGAAGUAGGCCCUGCUCCAAUGCUCCGGUGCAGUUUUCAGGAUGUCUUUAGCUCCUUCCACACUUUUUGGGCUAGUUUCGCUCUAUUGUAAUUAAAUUGAGUAACAUCAGAUGAUUUGGCACAUGCCCAGAACAUCUUUUGCAGUUUUUUGUCUCUGUGCACCUUUCUCCAGUUAGCAUAAAUAUGCCUAGCACACAUCCUAUGCUCUGCUUCAGGCACAAUUUCAUUGACAGCCCUGAUAAGACCCUGCCAAAUGAUAUAAACAUGUUCAUUUGAGUAGAUGUGACUACAUAAAAAUGGCUAGGUUCACCACCUAUCUCCUCGAUAAAUUUAUAACAUGUGACUAGGUUCACCACCAACCUCCUCGACAAAUUUAUAACAUGUGACUAGGUCCACCACCUACCUCCUCGACAAUUUUAUAACAUGUGACUACAUCAAAAAGAACAACAUGAAGAAUAAACGUUUGCUUGUAAUGCCUUCUGUUGGUCAGAUAUGAAGACCCAUCCAUCUCCAUUGUUGCUUAUCUGAAGAUCCUUCUGAAGAAAUGACAGGAACCAGUACCAUGAGUCAUAUGAUUCAACCUCAACUGUAGCCCAAGCAAUGGGGUACAUCUGAUUGUUGGAAUCUCUGCCAAUAGCACAUAGUAUUUGGCCUGAGACUGACCCCUUCAGAAAGCACCCAUCUAGACCCACAACUCUUCUACACCCAGCUAGGAAACCCUUUUUGCAGGUAUCAAGACAAAUAUACAUUCUUUGGAAAACUGGCUUGUCAAAAAUUUCAGGAUCUAGAGUCACUGCCACUGUGCUUCCAGGAUUGCUUCUCACUAGUUCUAAGUGGUAGUCAUAGACUCUAGAAUACUCACCAUUAGUCAAAUUAGUGAGCUUUUCCAUGACUAACUUUUUUGCUCUCUUGCACUGGGACAAGCUAACAUCGGCUAGAAGAUCCUCAAGUACUGCCUCCUGCAUAUGCUCUACAUGCCAAGUAGGAUUAUGCCUGAUCUGUCUGAAAUACUUUUUGGCAAUGACCGUGCUUGUGACAAGCUUGUUGCCCCUCCUAGGAAUACAUGUGUGCUCAUUUUCAUACCUCACAACUAACAACCAAUCAGAUCUGCUACUAAUUGAGCCAUAGAUGCUCCAAGGACAACCAGGCCAGGAACAUUCUACACUGACCCUUUUCUUUUCAUCUUUUGGAAAUCUUAAAUGGUGGAAAUUUGCUAGCCCAUACUUAACCAGUACCUGUUUGAAUUCCCUGCUAUCACGAAAUGCCAUGCCUAGAGCAAAUUCUGGUUUGUCAGUACUGUCAUCAUAAACUCUGUGUGUUGUUUUCCUCCUUCUCACUUCACUUAUCUCUCCAUCACUACCUUCAUCAUAUGACAAGUCGUCAUCACUUUCAAAGUAUGGUGUGUCUUCUCCAUCUGAAUCAUCUAGCUUAAAUGUUUCUGGGACAAUAUACUCUUCAGGCACAUUGCAUGGUUUUCCCUCCUCUUCUCUCAGCAUGUUCUUUCUCACUUUGUCCUUCAAUUCUUUAGCAUAUUUUCUCAACCCUAGCACUUCAUCAUCAGAUGCUGAGCUAUUGCUCUCUGCCGGGGGAAUAGCAUAGUCACUGUCAGAUGAGCCAUCACUUUCAGUGUGUACUUCUUCAUCCUCAUCUAAAUGUGAUUUCCCUUUGUCCUGCAUUUGGCUGCUACCUCUCUUCACUGGCAAUUUAGCACUGCUACUGCUAGGCUGGUAAUACAUAUUGGAGUAUUGCCAAGCUUCUGGUUCUAAUAUAUGUUCAUCUGCAUUUGGAUUAUUUUGCUGCUCUUGUACAUGUUGCUGCUGGUCCUCUCCAUGAAGUUCUUGUUCCUCCUCUAAAUGAUGUUGAUGUUCCUCUGGAUACUCAUCCUGUGAAAAGUCAUCAGGUAUGUUGGAAUAUAUGUCCAUAACACCUGCAUCAGUGGCAUGUUUUGCCAUCUCUAACACUGAUUUUUGAUCAUGUAACAUCACCAGAGCACUACUCAUUGCACCAUCUCUUAUUAGACCAGGAAAUUUCCAAUGCAGUGUACUGUUGUUUAGUGCUUUCUCUAAACAUCUAACUGUUGGGGAACGUAGUAAUUUCAAAAAAAAUUCUACGCACACGCAAGAUCAUGGUGAUGCAUAGCAACGAGAGGGGGGAGUGUUGUCUACGUACCCUCGUAGACCGGAAGCGGAAGCAUUAGCACAACGCGGUUGAUGUAGUCGUACGUCUUCACGGCCCGACCGAUCAAGCACCGAAACUACAGCACCUCCGAGUUCUAGCACACGUUCAGCUCGAUGACGAUCCCCGGACUCCGAUCCAGCAAAGUGUCGGGGAAGAGUUCCGUCAGCAUGACGGCGUGGUGACGAUCUUGAUGUUCUACCGUCGCAGGGCUUCGCCUAAGCACCACUACAAUAUUAUCGAGGAUUAUGGUGGAGGGGGCACCACACACGGCUAAGAGAACGAUCACAAAGAUCAACUUGUGUGUCUAUGGGGUGCCCCCUGGCCACGUAUAUAAAGGAGUGGAGGAGGGGAGGGGGCGGCCCUCUCUAUGGCGCGCCCUAGGGGAGUCCUACUCCCAUCGGGAGUAGGAUUCCCCCUUUCCUAGUAGAACUAGGAGCCCUUCCAAGUAGUAGGAGUAGGAGGGGGGGGAAGGGAAGGGAAAAGGAGAAGGAAGGAAGGGGGCGCCCCCCCUUCCCUAGUCCAAUUCGGACCAAACCAAGGGGAGGGGUGCGGCCACCCUUGAGGCCCUUUUCCUUCUUUCCCGUAUGGCCCAAUAAGACCCAAUACGUAUUCCCGUAACUCUCCGGUACUCCAAAAAAUACCCGAAUCACUCGAACCAUUCCGAUGUCCGAAUAUAGUCGUCCAAUAUAUCGAUCUUUACGUCUCGACCAUUUCGAGACUCCUCGUCAUAUCCCCGAUCUCAUCCGGGACUCCGAACUCCUUCGGUACAUCAAAACUCAUAAACUCAUAAUAUAACUAUCAUCGAAACCUUAAGCGUGCGGACCCUACGGGUUCGAGAACUAUGUAGACAUGACCGAGACACGUCUUCGGUCAAUAACCAAUAGCGGAACCUGGAUGCUCAUAUUGGCUCCCACAUAUUCUACGAAGAUCUUUAUCGGUCAAACCGCAUAACAACAUAUGUUGUUCCCUUUGUCAUCGGUAUGUUACUUGCCCGAGAUUCGAUCGUCGGUAUCUCAAUACCUAGUUCAAUCUCGUUACCGGCAAGUCUCUUUACUCAUUCCAUAAUACAUCAUCUCGCAACUAACUCAUUAGUUGCAAUGCUUGCAAGGCUUUAGGUGAUGUGCAUUACCGAGAGGGCCUAGAGAUACCUCUCCGACAAUCGGAGUGACAAAUCCUAAUCUCGAAAUACGCCAACCCAACAAGUACCUUCGGAGACACCUGUAGAGCACCUUUAUAAUCACCCAGUUACGUUGUGACGUUUGGUGGCACACAAAGUGUUCCUCUCGUAAACGGAAGUUGCAUAACCUCAUAGUCAUGGGAACAUGUAUAAGUCAUGAAGAAAGCAAUAGCAACAAAUUUAACGAUCAAGUGCUAUGCUAACGGAAUGGGUCAAGUCAAUCACAUCAUUCUCCUAAUGAUGUGAUCUUGUUAAUCAAAUGACAACUCAUGUCUAUGGUUAGGAAACAUAACCAUCUUUAAUCAACGAGCUAGUUAAGUAGAGGCAUACUAGUGACACUCUGUUUGUCUAUGUAUUCACACAUGUAUUAUGUUUCCGGUUAAUACAAUUCUAGCAUGAAUAAUAAACAUUUAUCAUGAUAUAAGGAAAUAUAUAAUAACUUUAUUAUUGCCUCUAGGGAAUAUUUCCUUCAGUCUCCCACUUGCACUAGAGUCAAUAAUCUAGUUCACAUCGCCAUGUGAUUUAACAUCAAUAGUUUACAUCACCAUGUGAUUAACACCCAUAGUUCACAUCGACAUGUGACCAACACCCAAAGGGUUUACUAGAGUCAAUAAUCUAGUUCACAUCGCUAUGUGAUUAACACCCAAAGAGUACUGAGGUGUGAUCAUGUUUUGCUUGUGAGAGAAUUUUAGUCAACGGGUCUGCCACAUUCAGAUUCGUAAGUAUUUUGCAAAUUUCUAUGUUAAGAAUGCUCUGCACAGAGCUACUCUAGCUAAUUGCUCCCAGUUUCAAUAUGUAUCCAGAUUGAGAUUUACAGUCAUCGGGAUCGGUGUCAAAAUUUGCAUCGACGUAACCCUUUACGACGAACCUUUUGUCACUUCCAUAAUCGAGAAACAUAUCCUUAUUCCACUAAGGAUAAUUUUGACCAAUGUCCAGUGAUCUACUCCUAGAUCACUAUUGUACUCCUUUGCCAAACUCAGGACAGGGUAUACAAUAGGUAUGGUACACAGCAUGGCAUACUUUAUAGAACCUAUGGCUGAGGCAUAGGGAAUGACUUUCAUUCUCUCUCUAUAUUCUGUCGUGGUCGGGUUUUGAGUCUUACUCAACUUCACACCUUGUAACACAGGCAAGAACUUCUUCUUUGACUGUUCUAUUUUUAACUACUUCAAAAUCUUGUCAAGGUAUGUACUCAUUGAAAAAACUUAUCAAGCAUCUUGAUCUAUCUCUAUAGAUCUUGAUGCUCAAUAUGUAAGCAGCUUCACCGAGGUCUUUCUUUGAAAAACUCCUUUCAAAUACUCCUUUAUGCUUUGCAGAAUAAUUCUACAUUAUCUCCAAUCAACAAUAUGUCUUCCACAUAUACUUAUCAGAAAUGUUGUAGUGCUCCCACUCACUUUCUUGUAAAUACAGGCUUCACUGCAAGUCUGUAUAAAACUAUAUGCUUUGAUCAACUUAUCAAAGCGUAUAUUCCAACUCCGAGAUGCUUGCACUAGUCCAUAGAUGGAUCGCUGGAGUUUGCAUAUUUUGUUAGUACCUUUAGGAUUGACAAAACCUUCUGGUUGCAUCAUAUACAACUCUUCUUUAAUAAAGCCAUUAAGGAAUGCAGUUUUGUUUAUCCAUUUGCCAGAUUUCAUAAAAUGCGGCAAUUGCUAACAUGAUUCAGAUAGACUUAAGCAUAGAUACGAGUGAGAAGUUCUCAUCGUAGUCAACACCUUGAACUUGUCGAAAACCUUUUUGCGACAAUUCUAGCUUUGUAGAUAGUAACACUACUAUCAGCGUCCGUCUUCCUCUUGAAGAUCCAUUUAAUCUCAAUGGCUCGCCGAUCAUUGGGCAAGUCAAUCAAAGUCCAUACUUUGUUCUCAUACAUGGAUCUCAUCUCAGAUUUCAUGGCCUCAAGCCAUUUCACGGAAUCUGGGCUCAUCAUCGCUUCCUCAUAGUUCGUAGGCUCGUCAUGGUCAAGUAACAUGACCUCCAGAACAGGAUUACCGUACCACUCUGGUGCGGAUAUCACUCUGGUUUACCUACGAGGUUCGGUAGUAACUUGAUCUUAAGUUACAUGAUCAUCAUCAUUAGCUUCCUCACUAAUUGGUGUAGUAGUCACAGGAACAGGUUUCUGUGAUGAACUACUUUCCAAUAAGGGAGCAGGUAAAGUUACCUCAUCAAGUUCUACUUUCCUCCCACUCACUUCUUUCGAGAGAAACUCCUUCUCUAGAAAGGAUCCAUUCUCAGCAACGAAUAUCUUGCCUUCGGAUCUGUGAUAGAAGGUGUACCCAACAUUUUCUUUUGGGUAUCCUAUGAAGACGCACUUCUCCGAUUUGGGUUUGAGCUUAUCAGGUUGAAACUUUUUCACAUAAGCAUUGCAACCUCAAACUUUAAGAAACAACAUCUUAGGUUUCUUGCCAAACCAUAGUUCAUACGGUGUCAUCUCAACGGAUUUAGAUGGUGCCCUAUUUAACGUGAAUGUAGCUGUCUCUAAUGCAUAACCCCAAAACGAUAGCGGUAAAUCAGUAAGAGACGUCAUAGAUCGCACCAUAUCUAAUAAAGUACGGUUGCGACGUUCGGACACACCAUUACAUUGUGGUGUUCCAGGUGGCGUGAGUAGUGAAACUUUUUCACAUUGUUUUAACUGAAGGACAAACUCGUAACUCAAAUAUUUACUUCUGCGAUCAUAUCGUAGAAACUUUUAUUUUUAUUACGAUGAUUCUCCACUUCACUCUAAAAUUCUUUGAACUUUUCAAAUAUUUCAGACUUGUGUUUCAUCAAGUAGAUAUACUCAUAUAUGCUCAAAUCAUCUGUGAAGAUCAAAAAAUAAUGAUACCUGCCACGACCCUCAAUAUUCAUCGGACCACAUACAUCAGUAUGUAUGAUUUCCAACAAAUCUGUUGCUCGCUCCAUUGUUCUGGAGAAUGGAGUCUUAGUCAUCUUGCCCAUGAGGCAUGGUUCGCAAGCAUCAAGUGAUUCAUAAUCAAGUGAUUCCAAAAGUCCAUCGGCAUGGAGUUUCUUCAUGUGUUUUACACCAAUAUGACCUAAACAGCAGUGCCACAAAUAAGUUGCACUAUCAUUAUUAACUUUGCAUCUUUUGGUUUCAAUAUUAUGAAUAUGUGUAUCACUACGAUCGAGAUCCAACGAACCAUUUUCAUUGGGUGUGUAACCAUAUAAGAUUUUAUUCAUGUAAACAGAACAACAACUUAUUCUCUUACUUAAAUGAAUAAUUGUAUUGCAAUAAACAUGAUCAAAUCAUAUUCAUGCUCAACGCAAACACCAAAUAACACUUAUUUAGGUUCAACACUAAUCCCAAAAGUAUAGGGAGUGUGCGAUGAUGAUCAUAUCAAUCUUUGAACCACUUCCAACACACAUCGUCACUUCACCCUUAACUAGUCUCUGUUCAUUCUGCAACUCCCGUUUCGAGUUACUACUCUUAGCAACUGAACCAGUAUCAAAUACCGGGGGGGUUGCUAUGAACACUAGUAAAAUACACAUCAAUAAUCCGUAUAUCAAAUAUACCUUUGUUCACUUUGCCAUCCUUCUUAUCCGCCAAAUACUUGGGGCAGUUCUACUUCCAGUGACCAGUCCCUUUACAGUAGAAGCACUUAGUCUCAGGCUUAGGACCAGACUUGGGCUUCUUCACUUGAUCAGCAACUUGCUUGCCGUUCUUCUUGAAGUUCCCCUUCUUCCCUUUGCCCUUUUCUUGAAACUAGUGGUCUUGUCUACCAUCAACACUUGAUAUUUUUCUUGAUUUCUACCUUCAUUGAUUUCAGCAUUGCGAAGAGCAUGGGAAUCGUUUCUAUUAUCCCUUGCAUAUCAUAGUUCAUCACGAAGUUCUACUAACUUGGUGAUGGUGACUAGAGAAUUCUGUCAAUCACUAUCUUAUCUGGAAGAUUAACUCCCACUUGAUUCAAGCGAUUGUAGUACCCAGACAAUCUGAGCACAUGCUCACUGUUUGAGCUAUUCUCCUCCAUCUUUUAGCUAUAGAACUUGUUGGAGACUUCAUAUGUGCACUAAACUAUCAAGUAGUCAUCAUAUUGAGCUAGCCAAACAUUCAUAACGUCUGCAUCUGCUCCUGCAAUAGGUUUUGUCACCUAGCGGUGCAUCAAGGACAUAAUUCUUCUGUGCAGCAAUGAGGAUAAACCUCAGAUCACGGAUCCAAUCCACAUCUUUGCUACUAACAUCUUUCAACUUAGUUUUCUCUAGGAACAUAUAUAAAACAUAGGGAAGCAACAACGCGAGCUAUUGAUCUACAACAUAGAUAUGCUAAUACUACCAGGACAAAGUUCAUGAUAAAUUGAAGUUCAAUUAAUCAUAUUACUUAAGAACUCCCACUUAGAUAGAUAUCCCUCUAAUCCUCUAAGUGAUCACGUGAUCCAAAUCAACUAAACCAUGUCCGAUCAUCACGUGAGAUGGAGUAGUUUCAACGGUGAACAUCACUAUGUUGAUCAUAUCUACUAUAUGAUUCACGCUCGACCUUUCGGUCUCCGUGUUCCAAGGCCAUAUCUGUUAUAUGCUAGGCUCGUCAAGUUUAACCUGAGUAUUCCGCGUGUGCAACUGCUUUGCACCCGUUGUAUUUGAACGUAGAGCCUAUCACACCCGAUCAUCACGUGGUGUCUCAGCACGAAGAACUUUCGCAAUGGUGCAUACUCAGGGAGAACACUUAUACUUUAAUAAUUUAGUGAGGGAUCAUCUUAUAAUGCUACCGUCAAUCAAAGCAAGAUAAGAUGCAUAAAAGAUAAACAUCACAUGCAAUCAAUAUAAGUGAUAUGAUAUGGCCAUCAUCAUCUUGUGCUUGCGAUCUCCAUCUUCGAAGCACCGUCAUGAUCACCAUCGUCACCGGCGCGACACCUUGAUCACCAUCGUAGCAUCGUUGUCGUCUCGCCAAUCUUAUGCUUCCACGACUAUCGCUACCGCUUAGUGAUAAAGUAAAGCAUUACAGCGCAAUUGCAUUGCAUACAAUAAAGCGACAACCAUAUGGCUCCUGCCAGUUGCCGAUAACUCGGUUACAAAACAUGAUCAUCUCAUACAAUAAAAUUUAGCAUCAUGUCUUGACCAUAUCACAUCACAACAUGCCCUGCAAAAACAAGUUAGACGUCCUCUACUUUGUUGUUGCAAGUUUUAUGUGGCUGCUACGGGCUUAGCAAGAACCGUUCUUACCUACGCAUCAAAACCACAACGAUAGUUUGUCAAGUUGGUGAUGUUUUAACCUUCGCAAGGACCGGGCGUAGCCACACUUGGUUCAACUAAAGUUGGAGAAACUGACACCCGCCAGCCACCUGUGUGCAAAGCACGUCGGUAGAACCAGUCUCGCGUAAGCGUACGCGUAAUGUCGGUCCAGGACGCUUCAUCCAACAAUACCGCCGAACCAAAGUAUGACAUGCUGGUAAGCAGUAUGACUUAUAUCGCCCAUAACUCACUUGUGUUCUACUCGUGCACAACAUCAACGCAUAAAAGCUAGGCUCGGAUGCCACUGUUGGGGAACGUAGUAAUUUCAAAAAAAAUCCUACGCACACGCAAGAUCAUGGUGAUGCAUAGCAACGAGAGGGGAGAGUGUUGUCUACGUACCCUCGUAGACCAGAAGCGGAAGCGUUAGCACAACGUGGUUGAUGUAGUUGUACGUCUUCACGGCCCAACCGAUCAAGCACCGAAACUACGGCACCUCCAAGUUCUAGCACACGUUCAGCUCGAUGACGAUCCCCGGACUCCGAUCCAGCAAAGUGUCGGGGAAGAGUUCCAUCAGCACGACGGCGUGGUGACGAUCUUUAUAUUCUACCGUCGCAGGGCUUCGCCUAAGCACCGCUACAAUAUUAUCGAGGAUUAUGGUGGAGGGGGGCACCGCACACGGCUAAGAGAACGAUCACAAAGAUCAACUUGUGUGUCUAUGGGGUGCCCCCUGGCCACGUAUAUAAAGGAGUGGAGGAGGGGAGGGGCCGACCCUCUCUAUGGCGCGCCCUAGGGGAGUCCUACUCCCACCGGGAGUAGGAUUCCCCCUUUCCUAGUAGAACUAGGAGCCCUUCCAAGUAGUAGGAGUAGGAGGGAAGGAAAGGGAAGGGAAAAGGAGAAGGAAGGAAGGGGGCGCCCCCCUUCCCUAGUCCAAUUCGGACCAGACCAAGGGGAGGGGUGCGGCCACCCUUGAGGCCCUUUUCCUUCUUUCCCAUAUGACCCAAUAAGGCCCAAUACGUAUUCCCGUAACUCUCCGGUACUCCGAAAAAUACCCGAAUCACUCGGAACCUUUCCGAUGUCCGAAUAUAGUCGUCCAAUAUAUCGAUCUUUACGUCUUGACCAUUGCGAGACUCCUCGUCAUAUCCCCGAUCUCAUCCGGGACUCCGAACUCCUUCGGUACAUCAAAACUCAUAAACUCAUAAUAUAACUGUCAUCGAAACCUUAAACGUGCGGACCCUACAGGUUCGAGAACUAUGUAGACAUGACCGAGACACGUCUCCGGUCAAUAACCAAUAGCGGAACCUGGAUGCUCAUAUUGGCUCCCACAUAUUCUACGAAGAUCUUUAUCGGUCAGACCGCAUAACAACAUACGUUGUUCCCUUUGUCAUCGGUAUGUCACUUGCCCAAGAUUCAAUCGUCGGUAUCUCAAUACCUAGUUCAAUCUCGUUACCGGCAAGUCUCUUUACUCGUUCUGUAAUACAUCAUCUCGCAACUAACUCAUUAGUUGCAAUGCUUGCAAGGCUUUAGGUGAUGUGCAUUACCGAGAGGGCCCAGAGAUACCUCUCCGACAAUCGGAGUGACAAAUCCUAAUCUCGAAAUACGCCAACCCAACAAGUACCUUCAGAGACACCUGUAGAGCACCUUUAUAAUCACCCAGUUACGUUGUGACGUUUGGUGGCACACAAAGUGUUCCUCUGGUAAACGGGAGUUGCAUAAUCUCAUAGUCAUAGGAACAUGUAUAAGUCAUGAAGAAAGCAAUAGCAACAAAUUAAACGAUCAAGUGAUAUGCUAACGGAAUGGGUCAAGUCAAUCACAUCAUUCUCCUAAUGAUGUGAUCCCGUUAAUCAAAUGACAACUCAUGUCUAUGGUUAGGAAACAUAACCAUCUUUAAUCAACGAGCUAGUUAAGUAGAGGCAUACUAGUGACACUCUGUUUGUCUAUGUAUUCACACAUGUAUUACGUUUCCGGUUAAUACAAUUCUAGCAUGAAUAAUAAACAUUUAUCAUGAUAUAAGGAAAUAUAUAAUAACUUUAUUAUAUGCCUCUAGGGCAUAUUUCCUUCACUAACAUGGUCUGCAAGAUUGUUUUUCAGUUCUUCGAGGCUCAAUUUUGACAGAUGAACCAUGGACAUGCCAUGUGUACCACCCAAAUACUGCCACUCUGUACCAUCAUGGUGAAAUUCCCCUCCGAAAUGAAACCUGAUUGAAAGAUAAUCCAAAGGAUCCAUGCCUCAAAUAUGCUCAAGAAAAUGAAAAAAAUUCUGAAUAAAUAAACCUGCUUUCAGUUCAAUCAUAACUAAAUCAACCCUAAAUACUCUAAUCCGAGGGAAAUCAGAGCAACAAAAUAGUCAUACAUAAACUACAGAAUCAAGCACUACAUACAUGGCAACAAGAAAAAGAAAAAACCCUAGAUGAUGUCGAAAUCCCCCAAAAUCACAUCAACUCCAACCUAAAACAGAGAAGAAAGGAGGGAUUUCAGCCGAUACAUACGGGUCUCCAUAUCGAUGUGACUAACCUGUUGUCGCGCCGGAGAAUGAUGCUCUGUUCAUGCCGUCAAUGGCUCACCGCCAGACCUCGUUGCUGCCGUCGGAGGGAGAUUGGAAAGGCGAACAGAGGAAGGGAGGCGAACAGGCAGGGAAGAGAGGGCGGCUGGGUCGAACCAGCUCGGGGGGGUCAUCUAGACCACACCCAAACCUGCCCCUAUCGACGUGGCCGGUCGGUGGGCUUGUCCUGGCCUCCACGUAGGAAAAACAGCCCUUCCAAACCACUCGAGAUGGGUCUAGGGGGUGUUUUGUCUGGUUUGACAUAGUUCAGGGGAUUAAGUCUCUGGUUUUAGACGUGUGGGGGUUAUCUGUCCCUUAACUGAUAGUUCUGGGGGGGUAUCUAUACUUUUUUCCUGGAAAGGGCGAUGCCACGGGCGUGGGGAUUGCACAAGGAGGCAAAGUUCAAGGAUAUCGGGAAUAACAUCUUUGAGGUGAGGUUUGGCAGCGAAGGUGAUUGGCGUCAUGCACUCAAUAAUGGCCCGUGGCAAUUUGACUUCCAUGUGCUCGUGUUAAAGGAUUAUGUGGGAGAUGUUCGUCCUUCUGAGAUGGUCUUUGAUACGGUGGAGAUGUGGGUGAGAGUCCCGGAUCUGCCAUUAGACAUGAGGACGAAAUCAUUUGGAAAAGCUUUGGGAGAUUGGUUGGGAGAAGUGGUGAAAGUAGAUGUUGAGAAGGAUGGCUUUGCUAAAGGGAAGUAUCUUAGAGUGCGGGCUAAAAUCUCGAUCUUUGAGCCCUUGAUCCAUCGUGCCCGGCUAAGGACCUCACUGGAGGACUUGGAGGGGACGUGGUGUGAUUUUACCUACGAAAAGAUCCCGCAUUUUUGCUUUGAUUGUGGUAGACUUGUGCAUGGUAAGGGUGUGUGUGAGGCGCCAGUGGAUCGCUCAAGUCGAUGGGGCCUCUGGCUUAGAGCUUCACCAGGAAGGGGUUCUUCAUCGCUGAAGGAGAAUUCGCAUGUUGGGGCGUCCAGUUCUUUUACUGGUGGGGGCUCACGUUCUGAUGACAAGGAUAAAUCGAAGUACAGUAAAGCUUCUGCUCGGGAACAACUUGUUAAAAGGAACUUAAACGCGACGUUUUCACAAUCGACUAACUCUUGCACUGGCGGAGUAACGCCGAAGGAGCAGAGGGAGGUGAACAGCCCAACAAAGAGAGCUUCACACAUGGAUGAUAUGCACAGCAGUGAUCUGAGGAGGAAGUUGGAGCAGAAAAAAGAAAAAGAGCUAAGGGCUGAAUUGACUAGACGGCAAGAAGAAGGGAGGAGUGGUUCUCCACGUCGGGAACAGGGCCAUACAACCACUAAACCAGACGUGCGGCAGCGCGGGUCGGCUACCGAUGGGGCCUGGCGCCAUGCAGGUGCGUAUCGCGAGGCGAACAGCCAUGUAGAUCGUGGGGCGGAGGCGAGGCACCGUUCGGCUUCCCAUGUAGAUGAUCGGCUGGACCGGGCUGGUCGCGAUGAUUAUUUCAGCCAUGUUUCGCCAGGGCAGAGAGACAGGAUUCGAGGUAGAUAUAUCCGCAGGCCAAGGUACCUGGGCGAAAUGGAGAGAGGCUCACACCAGGUUUAUAGAGAGAAGGAGUCAGGAAGAAAGCGUCCCCCAAAACAGGUGUGGGUAGCCAAAGGUGACCCGGAUAGAACGGUACAUCAUGAUACGUUCAUUAGAGAGACGAGGCAGAAGACAACUUCUGUUUUUGAUUGUAUGGAAGACUCUAAGGCAUCGGCGGACCUCGCAGGGCGGGGCCGCCGGGACCAAUGAAUUGCUUGGCCUAGAACUGUCGAGGACUGGGGUUGGACUCGACAGUAGGCGAACUUCGGGACCUCAUACAGUCACACAACCCAGUGGUGGUUUUCUUAUCAGAAACAAAAAAGAGUGCGAAGGCUAUGGAGAGAUUGAAGUGGAGACUUGGUUUCAGAAGCGGAGUGGCUGUGGAUUGUAAUGGGAGGAGUGGAGGACUUGCAUUAUGGUGGAGAGAGCAUAUACAAGUCACUAUCAGGCCAUGGUGCCCGUACUUUAUUGAUGCUGAGAUUACCUCGGAUGGGCAAACUUGGAGAUUCACUGGAAUCUAUGGGGAGCCCAAAACGGAGUUGAGGAAGAAGACUUGGGAUGCGAUUAGAUACUUAAGGUCCCAGGAUGAGCUACCAUGGCUAUGUGUGGGGGGCUUUAAUGAAGUCCUUGUAAGAUCAGAACAAAGUGGCGGCAACCCGAGGAGUUUUGCCCAAAUGCAGGCGUUCAAUGACUGCCUAACUGACUGCGGUUUGGCGGACUUGGGCUUCUCGGGCUAUCAGUUUACAUGGGACAAUAAACAAGCAAACCAGGACAAUGUUCAAGUCAGGUUAGAUAGGGCAACCUGCACCGGUGAUUUUAUGGGUUUGUUUCCGGGCACGGCCGUGGAGAACAUUCUCACGGAGGAAUCUGAUCACAUGGCAAUCCUGGUGCGAGUUCGGGAUAUGGAGACAAUGCAACCGAGGGGGGACCGCCCCUUUCGGUUCGAGGAAAUGUGGCUGCGGCACGAGGGCUAUGAGGCGAUGAUGCAGCGGACAUGGGAGCAAGUGCGGGGGCGGAACAAGUCUCCCAGACAGGUGUGUGGCAGGCUACAUGAAAUAACAAAGUCGCUGCGCGGAUGGGGGCGCAUGGUGUUUGGGUCAAUUAGGAGGCAAAUUCAAAGGCUAAAAACAGACUUCUUGGAUGCAAAAGAGCGAGCCUUAGUCACUGGACUAACGGCGGAAGUGCGCGAGAUUGAGGGUCAGCUAAAGGAAGUUUAUGAAAGGGAGGAGAUUAUGCAGAAACAACGCUCACGUGUAGACUGGCUCAAGGCGGGGGACCGGAAUACCCAAUAUUUCCAGAACCGGGCCUCCCAUCAUAAGAGAAAGAACACGGUGAAGUCGUUGCGGUGGGAAAAUGGUACGAGGUGUACGGAUAAUGAUGGCAUGCGGGAGCUGGCGGCUUCAUUCUAUGAGCACCUAUUCGCAUCAAAGGGAUCCACCCAGCCAGAGAGGCUACUAGAUCUUUUUCACCCUGUCAUUUCUGAGGAUAUGAAUGGUAAGCUGACAGCGCCUAUUUUAGAUGAUGAGAUUGAGCGGGCACUGUUUCAGAUGGGGCCUACGAAAGCUCCCGGACCGGAUGGCCUACCUGCCUUGUUUUAUCAGAGACACCGGUCUCUGUUAAAAGAGGACGUGUGUGCAGCAGUUAGGGGGUUUCUGUCAGGGGAAGCUACUCCGGAUUCGUUUAAUGACACUGUGAUAGUGAUGAUACCGAAAGUUAGCUCACCAGAGCUGAUGUCUCAGUUUAGGCCAAUAAGUUUGUGUAAUGUGCUCUAUAAGAUUGCUACUAAAGUUUUGGCUAAUAGGCUCAAGAGGAUCUUACCGGUGUUGAUUUCUGAGGAACAGAGCGCCUUUGUACCAGGGAGGCUCAUGACAGAUAAUAUUUUAGUGGCCUAUGAGUGCACCAAUGCCAUUAGAACGAGGAAGAGGAAGACUCCGUUGUGUGCAGUGAAGCUAGAUAUGAUGAAGGCGUAUGAUCGAGUUGAAUGGAUCUUCUUAGAGCAUAUGUUGGUUAGAUUUGGUUUCGAUCAAAGGUGGGUUCAGAUGAUUAUGCGAUGUGUCACCUCGGCGCGUUUUUCUGUGAAACUUACGGUGGCUUCUCGAGACCUUUCCUCCCAUCCAGAGGACUACGACAGGGUGAUCCUCUUUCGCCAUACCUUUUCCUAUUUUGUGUGGAAGGUUUUUUUGCUCUACUAAGGGCUACACAGAAUGAGAAUAAUCUCAAGGGGGUGUCAUUUGGGAGCACUGGCCCCCAUGUCACUCACCUUCUAUUCGCGGACGAUAGUAUUGUCUUUCUGGAGGGGAACCGCGGCAGUUUUGAGGCGUUGAGGGACAUACUUAGAGUUUAUGAGGAAGCCUCGGGACAAAAGGUAAAUCUUCAAAAGUCUUCAGUGUUCUUUGGUAAAGGAUGUAGGGAUGCAAGUAAGGCUGAAUUGCUUGGGGUUAUUGGCAUCAACUCUGAAGCUUUGAGUGAAAGGUAUUUAGGACUGCCGACACUGGUUGGGAAGUCCAAAGAGGGGACUUUUAAAUAUGUUAAAGAGAGCUCUGCGGGGAAAGUAACAGGAUGGAAGGGGCAAGGGCUGUCAAAAGCGGCAAGGGAGGUCCUAGUCAAGUCGGGACUCCAAGCCACACCAACUCUCACUAUGAGCUGCUUCCAACUCACCAAGAAAAUGUGCCGGAACCUGACUUCUAUUUCGUCUAACUUCUGGUGGGGAGAAGCAAAUGGGGAGAGGAAGGUGCACUGGCUUGCAUGGAAAAAGAUGUGUAGGGCUAAGAAAGAAGGAGGAAUGGGCUUUCGGGAUCCAGAAGCUUUUAACCAAGCUCUGCUGGCCAAACAAGCCUGUCGCGUGCUGCAGUACCCAGAUUCUUUGUGUGCUAGGGUGCUCAAGGCAAGGUAUUUCCCCCAUGGAUCAAUCUUGAAUGCCACCUGCCCUGCUGGCGGCUCGUUCACUUUCAGAAGUAUUAUUCAUGGUCGGGAGCUGUUGCGUGAGGGACUAGUGUGGAGGAUUGGAGAUGGCACAUCGAUAAAAAUCCACCAUGAUAACUGGCUCCUGCGCCAGGGAAGCCUUAAGCCACUUGGGCAGCAGUACAUUGCAGGGAUCACUCAUGUGCGCUACCCUGAAUGAAUCCGGUGUUGCAUGGGACAUGGCUAAGGUGGAAAUGAUGUUUACUCCUGGGGAUGUGGAGGAUAUAAAGCAGAUUGUGAUAGGUGGGCCGAAUAUGAGGGAGUAUGUGGCAUGGAACUUCACCAAUAAUGGACAAUUUUUAGUCAAGUCGGCAUAUCAUCUUCGCAUGAGUUUGAAUGGUGUCAAGACCGGACAGUCGGGUUCUUCGAUGCCAAGAAGGGAGCAUAAAUCAUGGAUGGCGCUGUGGGACACUAACGCUCCGGGGAAGGCAAAGAUCCAUGCAUGGCGCCUCUUGAAGAACGGGCUGGCUGUUGGCUCCGAGCUCCAUCGGCGUCGAAUAAAGUCGGGCGUGUUUUGCUGUGCAUGUGGACGCGAAGAGACGACGUAUCACCGGUUCUGGGAGUGCCCUCAUUCAGCGAUGUUUUGGAAAUACCUGUGUGAAGACAAGGGCGAGUCGGUGAUGCUGCCGCCGAUGAUGGAUGGCUCACUUAACAGCUUGGUUUCUUGGCUGAAGGGCUGGUUUGCCGACGCGGGAGCAGCAGAAAGAGAGACGAUGAUUCAUGCCCUCUAUGGUCUAUGGUGCGCAAGGAAUGAAACGCGCGAUGGGAAAAGAAUCCAGGACGCUGGUGAGCUAGCUUAGAAAGUGCACGCACAUAUACAAGAGUGGCGCCAAGUUCAUAUGGAGGAGCGGAACACCAAGGAAACAAGGAGACCGGACAAGUGGAAGCCGCCNNNNNNNNNNNNNNNNNNNNNNNNNNNNNNNNNNNNNNNNNNNNNNNNNNNNNNNNNNNNNNNNNNNNNNNNNNNNNNNNNNNNNNNNNNNNNNNNNNNNNNNNNNNNNNNNNNNNNNNNNNNNNNNNNNNNNNNNNNNNNNNNNNNNNNNNNNNNNNNNNNNNNNNNNNNNNNNNNNNNNNNNNNNNNNNNNNNNNNNNNNNNNNNNNNNNNNNNNNNNNNNNNNNNNNNNNNNNNNNNNNNNNNNNNNNNNNNUCCCGAGCAUCACUACUCCACUUCUUGCAGAGAUUCUAGCGGCUAGAAGUGCUGUGCAGUUGGCACUAGACAUGGACGUUCAGCGCCUUCAUGUGGAGCUGGAUAAUCAGGAGGUGGUGACAAUGCUGAAUGAAGAACGAAGGAACCUCUCCACCUUUGGUCCGGUCGUGGAAGAGAUAAAGGAGAUGUUGAGGUUGCGGCACGAGUUUAGAGUUAGCUGGGUUCGGCACUUGGCUAAUGGAGCAGCGCAUGGGUUAGCAAGAGAGGGGGUGUGUAAUGAGGUGUCUAGCGUUUAUGAAUUUCCUCCGGAUUGUAUUAUUCAGGUUGUAGUGGAUGAGAUCCCGAACUUUGUUUAAGUUUUAAAUAAAUGCAAGUUCCCCUCAAAAAAAAACAAGUCGAUGCCGAUGCACCUGUGCCAUUUACAGUGUUCGACAUCUGAUCAAUGGUGUCCCGAUUGCAAUUUUACCCUAGCGCCACAUUUACUGUCUUACUGACACAGUGGAACAGCAACAAGCUCAAGCUGGCCCUAGUCUAGAAGCAGUUUGCAACCACACCAACCUAGUUCCCACCACCUUGCCCUCCCUCUGGGCUCCUUACCCUCCUCUGCUUUGCUGAACUCUCGGCAGCUUCGCCCUGCGCCUUGCGCUUCUCCCAUGAGCCAUUAUUGGUGAGGAAGAAGUCUUUGACCUGACGGGCAAUCUUGUCAUCCCCUGAAUAUGAGAUCUUCACCUUCAGGUUGUUGUAAGUACAUGAUGUUUCACUUGGAUCGGUGUUAUCUCUGCUGUUGCAGGCCUUCUAUAGAACAAUGAACCAGUGUAAAGGAUUGGCCACAUGCUUAAACUCUCGU
Molecule: long non-coding RNA, 29299 nt
Filed under: Triticum aestivum (bread wheat)
Lineage: Eukaryota; Viridiplantae; Streptophyta; Magnoliopsida; Poales; Poaceae
Description: long non-coding RNA (TAES_LNC014834)
Source: RNAcentral